This 232-nucleotide unclassified non-coding RNA is filed under the name uncultured Marchandiobasidium. RNAcentral's name for it is "partial internal transcribed spacer 2". Lineage: Eukaryota; Fungi; Basidiomycota; Agaricomycetes; Cantharellales. The record is from RNAcentral.
AUAUCUCAACCCAACAGUUUUUGUAAUGAGAACUGGAGGGCUUGGACUUGGAGGCUUUGCCGGCGCUUGUCGGCUCCUCUCUAAAUUCAUUAGCUGAGUCUUUCGAGACGUAGCCUCGGUGUGAUAAUUGUCUACGCCGUGUGUUUGCGUUCUUGCUUGCGCCACCCUGCUCUUGCAGUUGUUGUGGCGGAGACUUCUGGCUUCUAAUCGUCUUCGGACAAUUCACUUUGAC